Molecule: ribosomal RNA, 119 nt
Filed under: Helianthus annuus (common sunflower)
Lineage: Eukaryota; Viridiplantae; Streptophyta; Magnoliopsida; Asterales; Asteraceae
Source: RNAcentral
GGUUGCGAUCAUACCAGCACUAAUGCACCGGAUCCCAUCAGAACUCCGCUGUUAAGCGUGUUUGGGCGAGAGUAGUACUAGGAUGGGUGACCCCCUCGGAAGUCCUCGUGUUGCAACCC